Molecule: ribosomal RNA, 449 nt
Filed under: uncultured bacterium
Lineage: Bacteria
Description: partial 16S ribosomal RNA
Rfam family: Bacterial small subunit ribosomal RNA
Source: RNAcentral
AACGAACGCUGGCGGCAUGCCUAACACAUGCAAGUCGAACGAGAUCUUCGGGUCUAGUGGCGCACGGGUGCGUAACGCGUGGGCAUCUGCUCUUUGGUUCGGCAUAACAGCUGGAAACGACUGCUAAUACCGGGUGAUGACGCAAGUCCCUAGAUGUAGCGCCAGGGGCUGAGCCCGCGUAGGAUUAGAUAGCUGGUGUGGUAAGGGCGCACCAAGGCGACGAUCCUUAGCUGGUCUGAGAGGAUGGUCAGCCACACUGGGACUGGGACACGGCCCAGACUCCCACGGGAGGCAGGAGUGGGGAAUAUUGGACAAUGGGCGAAAGCCUGAUCCAGCAAUGCCGCGUGAGUGAUGAAUGCCUUAGGGUUGUAAAGCUCUUUUACCCGGGAUGAUAAUGACAGUACCGGGAGAAUAGGCUCCGGCUAACUCCGUGCCAGCAGCCGCCGUAA